RNAcentral lists this ribosomal RNA (850 nucleotides) under Byssosphaeria siamensis. RNAcentral describes it as "partial 28S large subunit ribosomal RNA". It matches the Rfam family "Eukaryotic large subunit ribosomal RNA", at positions 82 to 953 of the family's 3401-position model. Lineage: Eukaryota; Fungi; Ascomycota; Dothideomycetes; Pleosporales; Melanommataceae. The record is from RNAcentral.
AGUAACGGCGAGUGAAGCGGCAAUAGCUCAAAUUUGAAAUCUGGCUCCUUUGGGGCCCGAGUUGUAAUUUGGAGAGGGUGCUUUGGUGUCGGCAGCAGCCUAAGUUCCUUGGAACAGGUCAUCAUAGAGGGUGAGAAUCCCGUAUGUGGCUGAUUGUCUUCACCGUGUAAAGCCCCUUCGACGAGUCGAGUUGUUUGGGAAUGCAGCUCUAAAUGGGAGGUAAAUUUCUUCUAAAGCUAAAUACUGGCCAGAGACCGAUAGCGCACAAGUAGAGUGAUCGAAAGAUGAAAAGCACUUUGGAAAGAGAGUCAAAAAGCACGUGAAAUUGUUGAAAGGGAAGCGCUUGCAGCCAGACGUGCCUGUAGUUGCUCAUCUGGGGAUUUCCCCAGUGCACUCUUCUAUAGGCAGGCCAGCAUCAGUCCGGGCGGUUGGAGAAAGGCCUGUGUCACGUAGCUGCUUUCGGGCAGUGUUAUAGGGCAGGUGGAAUACGACCAGCCUGGACUGAGGUCCGCGCAUCUGCUAGGAUGCUGGCGUAAUGGCUGUAAGCGGCCCGUCUUGAAACACGGACCAAGGAGUCUAACAUCUAUGCGAGUGUUUGGGUGUCAAGCCCGAGCGCGCAAUGAAAGUGAACGGAGGUGGGAACCCUUGGGUGCACCAUCGACCGAUCCUGAUGUCUUCGGAUGGAUUUGAGUAAGAGCAUAGCUGUUGGGACCCGAAAGAUGGUGAACUAUGCCUGAAUAGGGUGAAGCCAGAGGAAACUCUGGUGGAGGCUCGCAGCGGUUCUGACGUGCAAAUCGAUCGUCAAAUUUGGGCAUAGGGGCGAAAGACUAAUCGAACUAUCUAGUAGCUG